UACGGAGGGUGCAAGCGUUAUCCGGAUUUACUGGGCGUAAAGGCGCGUAGGCGGCCACUGCAAGUCGGUUGUGAAAUCUCCGGGCUUAACCCGGAAAGGUCAAUCGAUACUGCAGGGCUAGAGUGCAGAAGGGGCAACUGGAAUUCUCGGUGUAGCGGUGAAAUGCGUAGAUAUCGAGAGGAACACCUGCGGCGAAGGCGGGUUGCUGGGCUGACACUGACGCUGAAGCGCGAAAGCUAGGGGAGCGAACGGG
This 253-nucleotide ribosomal RNA is filed under the name uncultured bacterium. RNAcentral describes it as "partial 16S ribosomal RNA". It matches the Rfam family "Bacterial small subunit ribosomal RNA", at positions 524 to 776 of the family's 1533-position model. The record is from RNAcentral.